Molecule: long non-coding RNA, 1145 nt
Filed under: Homo sapiens (human)
Lineage: Eukaryota; Metazoa; Chordata; Mammalia; Primates; Hominidae
Description: HSALNT0323802
Source: RNAcentral
CCUGCCUCAGCUGCGACUAACAGGUCAAAACAGUCACAAGCCUGCUCAAAUUCGGAAAGAGGGGACGGAAAUGGAACCUCUUCAUGGGAGGAAGAAUUGGAAAAAUGAAUGUAAUUUGACAUAUGUCUUGAGUCUGGUUGGCUUCUGAGGAACUUGUGUGCAUCUCAUCAGUAUGCAUCUUAAGAACUGAAAUGACCCUACUUCAGCAUUGUGAGAAGACAUGCAUUCUCUUCGUAUAAAUAAUGUGGAUCUUACAUGUAAAGUAUUAUAAAGAUUAGCUGUUUAACAACUUAAAUAAGCUUGUGAAUAAUAAAUUAAUAACAAUGUUAUGCUAAUACGUAACUAUGAUAUUUGCUGAACAAAAUAAAUUUGCCUACUUUGGAAGCAGAUUGGGUGGUUUAAUAUAUCAGCAAAAGAGUGUUUUUAAAAAAUAUCAAAGUUCUGUUAAUCAAAACGUUUAUUGUAGGACAGUUAGUAAUGUUUUGUUUGCCAACUUAUAUUACAAAGUCUCUGUCUUAAGUGUUUCCUUGCAAAUAAAAUGACAAUACUGCCUUACAUUUUAUUACUUUAGAGUUUGCAAAAUAUCUUCAUUAUAAUAUUUCAUUUAGUAGACAUGCCUAUGGGAACAUUACUUCCAGAAUUAAAAACAUUAUUUUUGUUUUGGUAUAUUUUUAAACUACAAAUGAUAGAAAGGCAAGUAAAUGUAAGUUUUUCUCUAGUUAUUUGUUCAAAUGCUAAUUUAAAACAUUUGUACAUUUCUAAUACAAACAUUCCUUAUUUGAGAAAAAAUGGAUUUCUUAAAAACAAAAUGCAUUUUAAAGCAGAGAGACAGGGCAUUGAGCUGAAAAUGGUGGCUGGAAGUUGGGAUCUGUAAGAGAAGUUGAAUGUGCCCCGAGGCAUAAAGCUGCUAAUUUUGUUUUAUUGGAUUUUACUGUAGCUAUUAAUAUAUUUUGCUGGAGAUUUAUGUGAUCAAUUUAUCUUAUGGCCAGAACUAAUUCCCUUAGUAUAUUUUAUUAGAAUAUGUGACUUUUUCUAAAUUUAGCUUUAUUUUUCAUAUUUUCCAUAAAUGGCAAAGAUUCUAUGUUUCCAGACAUGUUAAGUAUUGCAAGAAUUAUUGGAGCACCUAAAGAUAAAUAAUAUCAAAA